CCUACGUGAGGCAGCAGUGAGGAAUAUUGGUCAAUGGGCGCGAGCCUGAACCAGCCAAGUCGCGUGAAGGAUGACUGCCCUACGGGUUGUAAACUUCUUUUAUAAAGGAAUCAAGUGAGGCACGUGUGCCUUUUUGUAGGUACUUUAUGAAUAAGGCUCGGCUAACUCCGUGCCAGCAGCCGCGGUAAUACGGAGGCUCCGAGCGUUAUCCGGAUUUAUUGGGUUUAAAGGGAGCGUAGAUGGGUUGUUAAGUCAGUUGUGAAAGUUUGCGGCUCAACCGUAAAAUUGCAAUUGAUACUGGCAGUCUUGAGUACAGUUGAGGUAGGCGGAAUUCGUGGUGUAGCGGUGAAAUGCUUAGAUAUCACGAAGAACUCCGAUUGCGAAGGCAGCUUACUAAACUGCCACUGACAUUGAUGCUCGAAAGUGUGGGUAUCAAACAGGAUUAGAUACCCCAGUAGUC
RNAcentral lists this ribosomal RNA (460 nucleotides) under uncultured bacterium. Its description in RNAcentral is "partial 16S ribosomal RNA". It matches the Rfam family "Bacterial small subunit ribosomal RNA", at positions 338 to 795 of the family's 1533-position model. The record is from RNAcentral.